This 444-nucleotide ribosomal RNA is filed under the name uncultured bacterium. RNAcentral describes it as "bacterial SSU rRNA". It matches the Rfam family "Bacterial small subunit ribosomal RNA", at positions 28 to 507 of the family's 1533-position model. The record is from RNAcentral.
GAUGAACGCUGGCGGUAUGCCUAACACAUGCAAGUCGUACGAGAGUUUUUAACUCUAGUGGCGGACGGGUGAGUAACACGUGAGAAUUUGCCUUUAGGAGGGGGAUAACAAUUGGAAACGAAUGCUAAUACCCCAUAUGCUUUUGAGUGAAAUGGAUUUUAUCCGCCUAGAGAGAAGCUCGCGGCUGAUUAGCUUGUUGGUAAGGUAAGAGCUUACCAAGGCGACGAUCAGUAUCUGGUUUGAGAGGACGAUCAGACACACUGGAACUGAGACACGGUCCAGACUCCUACGGGAGGCAGCAGUGGGGAAUUUUCCGCAAUGGGCGAAAGCCUGACGGAGCAAUACCGCGUGAGGGAAGAAUGCCUAUGGGUUGUAAACCGUCUUUUUUCUAGGGUAGGAAUAAAAUGACGUGUACCUGAAGAAUAAGCAUCGACUAACUCCGUG